CUGUUUUUCUACAGUCAGUCUAUGGAAGCAACACGUCUCUGGAGCGUCGUCGUGAAAGAUGACAGGAAGAAGGGAGGGAGGAAGGAAGCAAGGAAGGAAGGAACUGUCAAAACAGAUUGGGUCUCUUGAAUGAUAUGUGGCAUCAAUGGAAGACAUCUGGAGGAAGAAGAGGAAGCGUAUACAGACCAACUGAAGGACCAUCUUCUCUUCACUGAAGCUCUGAGGUAGGAUAUGUUUUCUCUCAGUAUUACCAGCUGCUGUGUUUAAUGUUGAUGGAACUGAGUUCACUUUAAAGGGUCAGAUCAUCACAGAAUCUCUUUGGCAGACCUCCAUUCAGUGCUUGAAGUGGAGACAAAUAAGUGUCAGUGCU
Molecule: long non-coding RNA, 370 nt
Organism: Sebastes umbrosus (honeycomb rockfish)
Lineage: Eukaryota; Metazoa; Chordata; Actinopteri; Perciformes; Sebastidae
Exons: 3
Source: RefSeq, a predicted model, not a curated record